GCUGGGUGAGGUGGUGCGUGCCUGUAAUUCCAGCAACUCAGAAGGCUGAGGCAGGAGGAUUGCAAGUUUGAGGUCAGCCUCAGCAACUUAGUAAAACCCUGUAUUAA
This 107-nucleotide small RNA is filed under the name Marmota monax (woodchuck). Lineage: Eukaryota; Metazoa; Chordata; Mammalia; Rodentia; Sciuridae. The record is from RNAcentral.